GAUGAACGCUAGCUACAGGCUUAACACAUGCAAGUCGAGGGGAAACGAUAUUGGAAGCUUGCUUCCGAUAGGCGUCGACCAGCGCACGGGUGAGUAACGCGUAUCCAACCUGCCCACCACUUGGGGAUAACCUUGCGAAAGUAAGACUAAUACCCAAUGAUAUCUCUAGAGGACAUCUGAAGGAGAUUAAAGAUUCAUCGGUGAUGGAUGGGGAUGCGUCUGAUUAGCUUGUUGGCGGGGUAACGGCCCACCAAGGCGACGAUCAGUAGGGGUUCUGAGAGGAAGGUCCCCCACAUUGGAACUGAGACACGGUCCAAACUCCUACGGGAGGCAGCAGUGAGGAAUAUUGGUCAAUGGGCGAGAGCCUGAACCAGCCAAGUAGCGUGCAGGAUGACGGCCCUAUGGGUUGUAAACUGCUUUUAUAAGGGAAUAAAGUGAGUCUCGUGAGACUUUUUGCAUGUACCUUAUGAAUAAGGACCGGCUAAUUCCGUGCCAGCCGCCGCCGUAA
This 508-nucleotide ribosomal RNA is filed under the name uncultured bacterium. RNAcentral describes it as "partial 16S ribosomal RNA". It matches the Rfam family "Bacterial small subunit ribosomal RNA", at positions 28 to 523 of the family's 1533-position model. The record is from RNAcentral.